RNAcentral lists this ribosomal RNA (305 nucleotides) under uncultured bacterium. Its description in RNAcentral is "partial 16S ribosomal RNA". It matches the Rfam family "Bacterial small subunit ribosomal RNA", at positions 337 to 659 of the family's 1533-position model. The record is from RNAcentral.
GCCUACGGGGGGCAGCAGUGGGGGAUAUUGCACAAUGGGGGGAACCCUGAUGCAGCGACGCCGCGUGGGUGAAGAAGCGCCUCGGCGCGUAAAGCCCUGUCAGCAGGGAAGAAAAUGACGGUACCUGAAGAAGAAGCCCCGGCUAACUACGUGCCAGCAGCCGCGGUAAUACGUAGGGGGCAAGCGUUAUCCGGAUUUACUGGGUGUAAAGGGGGCGCAGACGGCGAUGCAAGCCAGGAGUGAAAGCCCGGGGCCGAACCCCGGGACUGCUCUUGGAACUGCGUGGCUGGAGUGAAGGAGGGGCG